AGAGUUUGAUCAUGGCUCAGAUUGAACGCUGGCGGCAUGCCUUACACAUGCAAGUCGAACGCGAAAGGGGGCAACCCCGAGUAGAGUGGCGAACGGGUGAGCAAUACAUCGGAACGUGUCCUGUAGCGGGGGACAACCUCGAGAAAUCGAGGCUAAUACCGCAUACGAUCUACGGAUGAAAGUGGGGGACCGCAAGGCCCCACACUAUAGGAGCGGCCGAUGCCGGAUUAGCUAGUUGGUGGGGUAAAAGCCUACCAAGGCGACGAUCCGUAGCUGGUUUGAGAGAACGACCAGCCACACUGGGACUGAGACACGGCCCAGACUCCUACGGGAGGCAGCAGUGGGGAAUUUUGGACAAUGGGCGAAAGCCUGAUCCAGCCAUGCCGCGUGAGUGAAGAAGGCCUUCGGGUUGUAAAGCUCUUUCGGCGGGGACGAAAUUGCGCGGGGUAACAUCCCGCGUAGAUGACGGUACCCGAAGAAGAAGGACCGGCUAACUACGUGCCAGCAGCCGCGGUAAUACGUAGGGUCCAAGCGUUAAUCGGAAUUACUGGGCGUAAAGCGUGUGUAGGCGGUUUCGAAAGUCCGAUGUGAAAUCCCCGGGCUUAACCUGGGAACUGCGUUGGAAACUACGAGGCUAGAGUGCGGCAGAGGGGGGUGGAAUUCCAGGUGUAGCAGUGAAAUGCGUAGAGAUCUGGAGGAACACCGAUGGCGAAGGCAGCCCCCUGGGCCAGCACUGACGCUGAUACACGAAAGCGUGGGGAGCAAACAGGAUUAGAUACCCCAGUAGUCC
Molecule: ribosomal RNA, 790 nt
Filed under: uncultured bacterium
Lineage: Bacteria
Description: bacterial SSU rRNA
Rfam family: Bacterial small subunit ribosomal RNA
Source: RNAcentral